AAAGAGGGGAGCUGGGUCAUCCUGGCUGAGAAGGCGUAACGGAGCGCCUAAACCCGCGAACCUGAUCCGGGUAAUGCCGGCGUAGGAAACAG
RNAcentral lists this non-coding RNA (92 nucleotides) under bovine gut metagenome. The record is from RNAcentral.